This 441-nucleotide long non-coding RNA is filed under the name Struthio camelus australis. RNAcentral describes it as "lncRNA (ENSSCUG00000005822.1)". The record is from RNAcentral. Lineage: Eukaryota; Metazoa; Chordata; Aves; Struthioniformes; Struthionidae.
GCUCUUCUUGAUAACAAAACGCCAAAGGGCAAAUUCUCAAUCAGUGAAACAGUCAAACGAUCCAGCUUUCCAUCACAUGUAAUGCCUUGUUAGGCCAAACCCUAGUUUCACCUCUUAAAACUAUUCUGUAUCUGGCUGCAGGUGCUGUGUUCCCUGCGCUCCCAUGUGCAGGACUAUCUGGCUGCAGUCAGUAAUAUCGCGUGCUGGAGUUACUGGAGCUGUACGGAAAACUUGGGGUUGAUACAUCAUGUAUGAACCUUUGACAGCAUGACGUUGCGCAGUGCCAUUCCUCCGCAGCGAGGCGACGCGCAGUGCUGACUUACCCGAGCCAUCUGCGGUGGAGCCAGCUCGCAACCGUAAGUGUCCCCGUUGCGUUUUUCCAUGCUGCUGUGGUGCGCCUUCCUGAGCUAGCAUCUCUGCCGAGCAUUUUUGCUGUUCAUA